RNAcentral lists this ribosomal RNA (497 nucleotides) under uncultured bacterium. RNAcentral describes it as "partial 16S ribosomal RNA". It matches the Rfam family "Bacterial small subunit ribosomal RNA", at positions 28 to 507 of the family's 1533-position model. The record is from RNAcentral.
GAUGAACGCUGGCGGCGUGCCUAAUACAUGCAAGUCGAGCGAACGGACGAGAAGCUUGCUUCUCUGAUGUUAGCGGCGGACGGGUGAGUAACACGUGGAUAACCUACCUAUAAGACUGGGAUAACUUCGGGAAACCGGAGCUAAUACCGGAUGAUAUUUUGAACCGCAUGGUUCAAAAGUGAAAGACGGUCUUGCUGUCACUUAUAGCUGGAUCCGCGCUGCAUUAGCUAGUUGGUAAGGUAACGGCUUACCAAGGCAACGAUGCAUAGCCGACCUGCGAGGGUGAUCGGCCACACUAGAACUGAGACACGGUCCUGACUCCUACGGGAGGCAGCAGUAGGGAAUCUUCCGCAAUGGGCGAAAGCCUGACGGAGCAACGCCGCGUGAGUGAUGAAGGUCUUCGGAUCGUAAAACUCUGUUAUUAGGGAAGAACAUAUGUGUAAGUAACUGUGCACAUCUUGACGGUACCUAAUCAGAAAGCCACGGCUAACUACGUG